UGGGGAAUUUUGCGCAAUGGGGGAAACCCUGACGCAGCAACGCCGCGUGAGUGAUGAAGGCCUUCGGGUCGUAAAGCUCUGUCAGAGGGAAAGAAGUGUAUGGCGGAUAAUACCCGUUGUACUUGACGGUACCCUCAAAGGAAGCACCGGCUAACUCCGUGCCAGCAGCCGCGGUAAUACGGAGGGUGCAAGCGUUGUUCGGAUUUAUUGGGCGUAAAGCGCGUGUAGGCGGUUUCUUAAGUCUGAUGUGAAAGCCCUGGGCUCAACCCAGGAAGUGCAUUGGAUACUGGGAGACUUGAAUACGGGAGAGGGCAGUGGAAUUCCUAGUGUAGGAGUGAAAUCCGUAGAUAUUAGGAGGAACACCGGUGGCGAAGGCGGCUGCCUGGACCGAUAUUGACGCUGAGACGCGAAAGCGUGGGGAGCAAACA
This 428-nucleotide ribosomal RNA is filed under the name uncultured Geobacter sp. RNAcentral's name for it is "bacterial SSU rRNA". It matches the Rfam family "Bacterial small subunit ribosomal RNA", at positions 355 to 774 of the family's 1533-position model. The record is from RNAcentral. Lineage: Bacteria; Pseudomonadati; Thermodesulfobacteriota; Desulfuromonadia; Geobacterales; Geobacteraceae.